UGGGGAAUAUUGGACAAUGGGCGGAAGCCUGAUCCAGCCAUGCCGCGUGUGUGAAGAAGGCCUUUUGGUUGUAAAGCACUUUAAGCGAGGAGGAGGCUACUUGGAUUAAUACUCUAGGAUAGUGGACGUUACUCGCAGAAUAAGCACCGGCUAACUCUGUGCCAGCAGCCGCGGUAAUACAGAGGGUGCGAGCGUUAAUCGGAUUUACUGGGCGUAAAGCGUGCGUAGGCGGCUUCUUAAGUCGGAUGUGAAAUCCCUGAGCUUAACUUAGGAAUGGCAUUCGAUACUGGGAAGCUAGAGUAUGGGAGAGGAUGGUAGAAUUCCAGGUGUAGCGGUGAAAUGCGUAGAGAUCUGGAGGAAUACCGAUGGCGAAGGCAGCCAUCUGGCCUAAUACUGACGCUGAGGUACGAAAGCAUGGGGAGCAAACAGG
RNAcentral lists this ribosomal RNA (430 nucleotides) under Acidobacteriota bacterium. RNAcentral describes it as "Acidobacteria bacterium partial 16S ribosomal RNA". It matches the Rfam family "Bacterial small subunit ribosomal RNA", at positions 355 to 776 of the family's 1533-position model. Lineage: Bacteria; Pseudomonadati; Acidobacteriota. The record is from RNAcentral.